RNAcentral lists this ribosomal RNA (509 nucleotides) under uncultured bacterium. RNAcentral's name for it is "bacterial SSU rRNA". It matches the Rfam family "Bacterial small subunit ribosomal RNA", at positions 360 to 860 of the family's 1533-position model. The record is from RNAcentral.
AAUUUUGGACAAUGGGCGCAAGCCUGAUCCAGCCAUUCCGCGUGAGUGAAGAAGGCCUUCGGGUUGUAAAGCUCUUUCGCAAGGGAAGAAAGAUUACGCUCUAACAUAGCGUGAUUAUGACGGUACCUUGAUAAGAAGCACCGGCUAACUACGUGCCAGCAGCCGCGGUAAUACGUAGGGUGCGAGCGUUAAUCGGAAUUACUGGGCGUAAAGCGUGCGCAGGCUGUUUUGUAAGUCAGAUGUGAAAUCCCCGAGCUCAACUUGGGAACUGCGUUUGAAACUACAAGACUAGAAUAUGUCAGAGGGGGGUAGAAUUCCACGUGUAGCAGUGAAAUGCGUAGAGAUGUGGAGGAAUAUCAAUGGCGAAGGCAGCCCCCUGGGAUAAUAUUGACGCUCAUGCACGAAAGCGUGGGGAGCAAACAGGAUUAGAUACCCUGGUAGUCCACGCCCUAAACGAUGUCAACUAGUUGUUGGUAGAGUAAAAUCUAUGAGUAACGCAGCUAACGCGU